This 338-nucleotide ribosomal RNA is filed under the name Klebsiella pneumoniae. Its description in RNAcentral is "partial 23S ribosomal RNA". It matches the Rfam family "Bacterial large subunit ribosomal RNA", at positions 938 to 1279 of the family's 2925-position model. Lineage: Bacteria; Pseudomonadati; Pseudomonadota; Gammaproteobacteria; Enterobacterales; Enterobacteriaceae. The record is from RNAcentral.
ACCAAUCUCAGAUAAACUCCGAAUGCCAAUGAAUUAUGGUCGGCAGUCAGACUGCGAGUGCUAAGAUCCGUAGUCGAAAGGGAAACAGCCCAGACCACCAGCUAAGGUCCCAAAAUAAUUGUUAAGUGGAAAAGGAUGUGGGGUUGCACAGACAACUAGGAUGUUAGCUUAGAAGCAGCUAUUCAUUCAAAGAGUGCGUAAUAGCUCACUAGUCGAGUGACCCUGCGCCGAAAAUGUACCGGGGCUAAAACAAUUUACCGAAGCUGUGGAUACCUUUAUAGGUAUGGUAGGAGAGCGUUCUAUGUGUGAUGAAGGUAUACCGUGAGGAGUGCUGGAAC